GAUGAACGCUGGCGGCGUGCCUAAUACAUGCAAGUCGAGCGAACGGACGAGAAGCUUGCUUUUCUGAUGUUAGCGGCGGACGGGUGAGUAACACGUGGAUAACCUACCUAUAAGACUGGGAUAACUUCGGGAAACCGGAGCUAAUACCGGAUAAUAUUUUGAACCGCAUGGUUCAAUAGUGAAAGACGGUUUUGCUGUCACUUAUAGAUGGAUCCGCGCUGCAUUAGCUAGUUGGUAAGGUAACGGCUUACCAAGGCAACGAUGCAUAGCCGACCUGAGAGGGUGAGCGGCCACACUGGAACUGAGACACGGUCCAGACUCCUACGGGAGGCAGCAGUAGGGAAUCUUCCGCAAUGGGCGAAAGCCUGACGGAGCAACGCCGCGUGAGUGAUGAAGGUCUUCGGAUCGUAUAACUCUGUUAUUAGGGAAGAACAUAUGUGUAAGUAACUGUGCACAUCUUGACGGUACCUAAUCAGAAAGCCACGGCUAACUACGUG
This 497-nucleotide ribosomal RNA is filed under the name uncultured bacterium. Its description in RNAcentral is "partial 16S ribosomal RNA". It matches the Rfam family "Bacterial small subunit ribosomal RNA", at positions 28 to 507 of the family's 1533-position model. The record is from RNAcentral.